RNAcentral lists this ribosomal RNA (920 nucleotides) under Leotiomycetes sp. RNAcentral's name for it is "SSU rRNA". It matches the Rfam family "Eukaryotic small subunit ribosomal RNA", at positions 62 to 990 of the family's 1831-position model. Lineage: Eukaryota; Fungi; Ascomycota; Leotiomycetes. The record is from RNAcentral.
AGUAUAAGCAAUCUAUACGGUGAAACUGCGAAUGGCUCAUUAAAUCAGUUAUCGUUUAUUUGAUAGUACCUUACUACUUGGAUAACCGUGGUAAUUCUAGAGCUAAUACAUGCUAAAAACCCCGACUUACGAAGGGGUGUAUUUAUUAGAUAAAAAACCAAUGCCCUUCGGGGCUCCUUGGUGAUUCAUAAUAACUUAACGAAUCGCAUGGCCUUGUGCCGGCGAUGGUUCAUUCAAAUUUCUGCCCUAUCAACUUUCGAUGGUAGAGUAGUGGUCUACCAUGGUUUCAACGGGUAACGGGGAAUUAGGGUUCUAUUCCGGAGAGGGAGCCUGAGAAACGGCUACCACAUCCAAGGAAGGCAGCAGGCGCGCAAAUUACCCAAUCCCGACACGGGGAGGUAGUGACAAUAAAUACUGAUACAGGGCUCUUUUGGGUCUUGUAAUUGGAAUGAGUACAAUUUAAAUCCCUUAACGAGGAACAAUUGGAGGGCAAGUCUGGUGCCAGCAGCCGCGGUAAUUCCAGCUCCAAUAGCGUAUAUUAAAGUUGUUGCAGUUAAAAAGCUCGUAGUUGAACCUUGGGCCUGGCUGGCCGGUCCGCCUCACCGCGUGCACUGGUCCGGCCGGGUCUUUCCUCCUGGGGAGCUGCAUGCCCUUCACUGGGUGUGUCAGGGAACCAGGACUUUUACUUUGAAAAAAUUAGAGUGUUCAAAGCAGGCCUAUGCUCGAAUACAUUAGCAUGGAAUAAUAGAAUAGGACGUGUGGUUCUAUUUUGUUGGUUUCUAGGACCGCCGUAAUGAUUAAUAGGGAUAGUCGGGGGCAUCAGUAUUCAAUUGUCAGAGGUGAAAUUCUUGGAUUUAUUGAAGACUAACUACUGCGAAAGCAUUUGCCAAGGAUGUUUUCAUUAAUCAGUGAACGAAAGU